GAGGAAAGUCCGGGCUUCACAGGGCAGGAUGCCGGCUAACAGCCGGUGGAGGCGACUCCCAGGAAAGUGCAACAGAAAUAUACCGCCGGGGGAACCCGGUAAGGGUGGAAAGGCAGUGUAAGAGACUACCGUGCGGCUGGUAACAGGCGCAGCCAUGUAAACCCCAUCCGAAGCAAGACCGAGCAGGAGCGAUGACGCGGCCCGCCAGCUCCGGGUUGGUUGCUCGAGGCGGCUGGCAACAGCCGUCCUAGAUAGAUGAUCACACAAGACAUAACCCGGCUUA
RNAcentral lists this RNase P RNA (283 nucleotides) under Shuttleworthella satelles DSM 14600. RNAcentral's name for it is "Shuttleworthia satelles DSM 14600 RNA component of RNase P". It matches the Rfam family "Bacterial RNase P class A", at positions 43 to 351 of the family's 367-position model. Rfam says of the family: Ribonuclease P (RNase P) is a ubiquitous endoribonuclease, found in archaea, bacteria and eukarya as well as chloroplasts and mitochondria. Its best characterised activity is the generation of mature 5'-ends of tRNAs by cleaving the 5'-leader elements of precursor-tRNAs. The record is from RNAcentral. Lineage: Bacteria; Bacillati; Bacillota; Clostridia; Lachnospirales; Lachnospiraceae.